This 77-nucleotide transfer RNA is filed under the name Planctomycetota bacterium. Its description in RNAcentral is "Planctomycetes bacterium tRNA-Asn". It matches the Rfam family "tRNA". Rfam says of the family: Transfer RNA (tRNA) molecules are approximately 80 nucleotides in length. Their secondary structure includes four short double-helical elements and three loops (D, anti-codon, and T loops). Lineage: Bacteria; Pseudomonadati; Planctomycetota. The record is from RNAcentral.
UCCCCAGUAGCUCAGUUGGCCAGAGCAUCUGACUGUUAAUCAGAGGGUCGUUGGUUCGAGUCCAACCUGGGGAGCCA